This 465-nucleotide ribosomal RNA is filed under the name uncultured bacterium. RNAcentral's name for it is "partial 16S ribosomal RNA". It matches the Rfam family "Bacterial small subunit ribosomal RNA", at positions 28 to 507 of the family's 1533-position model. The record is from RNAcentral.
GACGAACGCUGGCGGCGUGCUUAACACAUGCAAGUCGAACGGAAAGGCCCUGCUUGCAGGGUACUCGAGUGGCGAACGGGUGAGUAACACGUGGGUGAUCUGCCCUGCACUUCGGGAUAAGCCUGGGAAACUGGGUCUAAUACCGGAUAGGAGCCAUUUUUAGUGUGAUGGUUGGAAAGUUUUUUCGGUGUAGGAUGAGCUCGCGGCCUAUCAGCUUGUUGGUGGGGUAAUGGCCUACCAAGGCGGCGACGGGUAGCCGGCCUGAGGGGGUGGACGGCCACAUUGGGACUGGGAUACGGCCCAGACUCCCACGGGGGGCAGGAGUGGGGAAUAUUGCACAAUGGGCGGAAGCCUGAUGCAGCGACGCCGCGUGGGGGAUGACGGCCUUCGGGUUGUAAACUCCUUUCGCUAGGGACGAAGCUGUUUGUGACGGUACCUAGAAAAGAAGCACCGGCUAACUACGUG